Molecule: ribosomal RNA, 882 nt
Filed under: human gut metagenome
Description: bacterial SSU rRNA
Rfam family: Bacterial small subunit ribosomal RNA
Source: RNAcentral
GACGAACGCUGGCGGCGUGCUUAACACAUGCAAGUCGAACGAAGCUUGAUUUAUGAUUUCUUCGGAAUGAAUAAUGAUAUGACUGAGUGGCGGACGGGUGAGUAACGCGUGAGCAACCUGCCCUUCGGAGGGGGAUAGCGUCUGGAAACGGACGGUAAUACCGCAUAAAGUGUCUUGACCGCAUGAUCGAGAUACCAAAACUGAGGUGCCGAAGGAUGGGCUCGCGUUGGAUUAGAUAGUUGGUGGGGUAACGGCCUACCAAGUCGACGAUCCAUAGCCGGACUGAGAGGUUGAACGGCCACAUUGGGACUGAGACACGGCCCAGACUCCUACGGGAGGCAGCAGUGGGGAAUAUUGCACAAUGGGGGAAACCCUGAUGCAGCAACGCCGCGUGAAGGAAGACGGUUUUCGGAUUGUAAACUUCUGUUCUUAGUGAAGAAUAAUGACGGUAGCUAAGGAGCAAGCCACGGCUAACUACGUGCCAGCAGCCGCGGUAAUACGUAGGUGGCAAGCGUUGUCCGGAAUUACUGGGUGUAAAGGGAGCGCAGGCGGGAAGCCAAGUCAGCUGUGAAAACUACAGGCUUAACUUGUAGACUGCAGUUGAAACUGGUUUUCUUGAGUGAAGUAGAGGUUGGCGGAAUUCCGAGUGUAGCGGUGAAAUGCGUAGAUAUUCGGAGGAACACCGGUGGCGAAGGCGGCCAACUGGGCUUUAACUGACGCUGAGGCUCGAAAGUGUGGGGAGCAAACAGGAUUAGAUACCCUGGUAGUCCACACUGUAAACGAUGAUUGCUAGGUGUGGGGGGUCUGACCCCUUCCGUGCCGCAGCUAACGCAAUAAGCAAUCCACCUGGGGAGUACGACCGCAAGGUUGAAACUCAAAGGA